CCUACGGGAGGCAGCAGUCGAGAAUCAUUCACAAUGGGGGAAACCCUGAUGGGGCGACGCCGCGUGGGGGAAUGAAGGUCUUCGGAUUGUAAACCCCUGUCAUGUGGGAGCAAAUUAAAAAGAUAGUACCACAAGAGGAAGAGACGGCUAACUCUGUGCCAGCAGCCGCGGUAAUACAGAGGUCUCAAGCGUUGUUCGGAAUCACUGGGCGUAAAGGGUGCGUAGGCUGUUUCGUAAGUCGUGUGUGAAAGGCGCGGGCUCAACCCGCGGACGGCACAUGAUACUGCGAGACUAGAGUAAUGGAGGGGGAACCGGAAUUCUCGGUGUAGCCGUGAAAUGCGUAGAUAUCGAGAGGAACACUCGUGGCGAAGGCGGGUUCCUGGACAUUAACUGACGCUGAGGCACGAAGGCCAGGGGAGCGAAAGGGAUUAGAUACCCCAGUAGUC
RNAcentral lists this ribosomal RNA (446 nucleotides) under uncultured bacterium. Its description in RNAcentral is "partial 16S ribosomal RNA". It matches the Rfam family "Bacterial small subunit ribosomal RNA", at positions 338 to 795 of the family's 1533-position model. The record is from RNAcentral.